UCCCUGGUGGUCCACUGAUUACGACUCUGUGCUUCCACUGCAGAGGGCACAGGUUCAGAUCCUGGUUGGGGAA
This 73-nucleotide transfer RNA is filed under the name Ovis aries (sheep). It matches the Rfam family "tRNA". From Rfam's summary of the family: Transfer RNA (tRNA) molecules are approximately 80 nucleotides in length. Lineage: Eukaryota; Metazoa; Chordata; Mammalia; Artiodactyla; Bovidae. The record is from Rfam by way of RNAcentral.